GGAAUAUUGGACAAUGGGCGCAAGCCUGAUCCAGCCAUGCCGCGUGGGUGAUGAAGGCCCUAGGGUUGUAAAGCCCUUUCGGCGGGGAAGAUAAUGACGGUACCCGCAGAAGAAGCCCCGGCUAACUCCGUGCCAGCAGCCGCGGUAAUACGGAGGGGGCUAGCGUUGUUCGGAAUUACUGGGCGUAAAGGGCGCGUAGGCGGGCGCAUAAGUCGGGGGUGAAAUCCCGGGGCUCAACCCCGGAACUGCCUCCGAUACUGUGUGCCUCGAGGACGGGAGAGGUGAGUGGAAUUCCGAGUGUAGAGGUGAAAUUCGUAGAUAUUCGGAGGAACACCAGUGGCGAAGGCGGCUCACUGGCCCGAUCCUGACGCUGAGGCGCGAAAGCGUGGGGAGCA
This 395-nucleotide ribosomal RNA is filed under the name uncultured bacterium. Its description in RNAcentral is "bacterial SSU rRNA". It matches the Rfam family "Bacterial small subunit ribosomal RNA", at positions 358 to 770 of the family's 1533-position model. The record is from RNAcentral.